RNAcentral lists this ribosomal RNA (263 nucleotides) under uncultured bacterium. RNAcentral describes it as "partial 16S ribosomal RNA". It matches the Rfam family "Bacterial small subunit ribosomal RNA", at positions 793 to 1055 of the family's 1533-position model. The record is from RNAcentral.
GUCCACGCCUUAAACGAUGGAUACUCGAUGUCGGUCCGCAAGGAUCGGUGUCUAAGCUAACGCAUUAAGUAUCCCACCUGGGGAGUACGAUCGCAAGGUUGAAACUCAAAGGAAUUGACGGGGGCCCCGCACAAGCAGUGGAGCAUGUGGUUCAAUUCGAUGCAACGCGAAGAACCUUACCUGGGUUUGAAAAGCUCUGUAAACCGGUGAAAGCCGGCUAGCGUAGCAAUACGCGCGGAGUACAGGUGCUGCAUGGCUGUCGU